GUUAGGAAUAUUGGACAAUGGGCGAAAGCCUGAUCCAGCCAUGCCGCGUGAACGAUGAAGGCCUUCGGGUUGUAAAGUUCUUUAGCCGAUGAUUAUAAUGACUGUAGUCGGAAAAUAAGCCCCGGCUAACUUCGUGCCAGCAGCCGCGGUAAUACGAAGGGGGCGAGCGUUAUUCGGAAUCACUGGGCGUAAAGCGUGCGUAGGCGGUUUUGUAAGUUAGGAGUGAAAGCCCAGGGCUCAACCUUGGAAUUGCUCUUAAAACUGCAAGGUUAGAAUCUCGGAGAGGAUAGCGGAAUUUCCAGUGUAGCAGUGAAAUGCGUAGAUAUUGGAAGGAACACCAGUGGCGUAAGCGGCUAUCUGGACGAGUAUUGACGCUGAGGCACGAAAGCGUGGGGAUCAAACAGGAUUAGAUACCCCAGUAGUCC
This 425-nucleotide ribosomal RNA is filed under the name uncultured bacterium. Its description in RNAcentral is "partial 16S ribosomal RNA". It matches the Rfam family "Bacterial small subunit ribosomal RNA", at positions 354 to 796 of the family's 1533-position model. The record is from RNAcentral.